RNAcentral lists this ribosomal RNA (473 nucleotides) under uncultured bacterium. RNAcentral describes it as "bacterial SSU rRNA". It matches the Rfam family "Bacterial small subunit ribosomal RNA", at positions 29 to 506 of the family's 1533-position model. The record is from RNAcentral.
ACGAACGCUGGCGGCGUGGAUUAGGCAUGCAAGUCGAACGGAACUUCUAGCUUUUUCGGAAGUUUAGUGGCGAAAGGGUGAGUAACACGUGGGUUACCUGCCCUAGGGUUCGGGAUAACCUGUCGAAAGACGGGCUAAUACCGGAUACGUCCUGCACUUUUCGAAGUGCAGGGGAAAGAUGGGGAUCCGUAAGGACCUAUCACCCUUGGAUGGGCCCGCGGCCUAUCAGCUAGUUGGUGAGGUAAUGGCUCACCAAGGCUAAGACGGGUAGCUGGUCUGAGAGGAUGGUCAGCCACACUGGAACUGAGACACUGUCCAGACACCUACGGGUGGCUGCAGUCGAGAAUCUUUCGCAAUGGGGGAAACCCUGACGACGCGACGCCGCGUGGAGGAUGAAGGCCUUCGGGUUGUAAAGCUCUUUUACCAGGGAUGAUAAUGGCAGUACCUGGAGAAUAAGCUCCGGCUAACUCCGU